AUUGAACGCUGGCGGCAUGCCUUACACAUGCAAGUCGAGCGGCAGCGCGGGGGCAACCCUGGCGGCGAGCGGCGAACGGGUGAGUAAUACAUCGGAACGUGUCCAGUAGUGGGGGAUAACCAGUCGAAAGAUUGGCUAAUACCGCAUACGAUCUACGGAUGAAAGCGGGGGACCGUAAGGCCUCGCGCCAUUGGAGCGGCCGAGGUCCGAUUAGCUAGUUGGCGGGGUAACGGCCCACCAAGGCGACGAUCGGUAGCUGGUCUGAGAGGAUGAUCAGCCACACUGGAACUGAGACACGGUCCAGACUCCUACGGGAGGCAGCAGUGGGGAAUUUUGGACAAUGGGCGCAAGCCUGAUCCAGCCAUGCCGCGUGAGUGAAGAAGGCCUUCGGGUUGUAAAGCUCUUUCGGCGGGGACGAAACGGUCCGUGACAACACCACGGACUAAUGACGGUACUCGCAGAAGAAGCACCGGCUAACUACGUGCCAGCCGCCGCGGUA
This 499-nucleotide ribosomal RNA is filed under the name uncultured bacterium. RNAcentral describes it as "bacterial SSU rRNA". It matches the Rfam family "Bacterial small subunit ribosomal RNA", at positions 29 to 522 of the family's 1533-position model. The record is from RNAcentral.